Molecule: unclassified non-coding RNA, 329 nt
Filed under: uncultured fungus
Lineage: Eukaryota; Fungi
Description: partial contains 5.8S ribosomal RNA and internal transcribed spacer 2
Rfam family: 5.8S ribosomal RNA (bases 1-133)
Source: RNAcentral
UGGUUCUGGCAUCGAUGAAGAACGCAGCGAAAUGCGAUAAGUAAUGUGAAUUGCAGAAUUCAGUGAAUCAUCGAACCUUUGAACGCACAUUGCGCCCAUUAGUAUUCUAGUGGGCAUGCCUGUUCGAGCGUCAUUAAGUCCAUUAAGCCUCGUUGCUUAGCGUCGGGAGCCUGCCGGCCUGGCCCGCAGCUCCUCAAAACUAGUGGCGGAGUCAGCGUAUACUCUAGGCGUAGUAAUUCUUCACUCGCUUCUGUGGUUGCGCCGGCACCUGCCGUAAAACCCCCUAUUUUUAAAGGUUUGACCUCGGAUCAGGUAGGAAUACCCGCUGA